RNAcentral lists this ribosomal RNA (549 nucleotides) under uncultured cyanobacterium. Its description in RNAcentral is "bacterial SSU rRNA". It matches the Rfam family "Bacterial small subunit ribosomal RNA", at positions 338 to 899 of the family's 1533-position model. The record is from RNAcentral. Lineage: Bacteria; Bacillati; Cyanobacteriota.
CCNACGGGAGGCAGCAGUGGGGAAUUUUCCGCAAUGGGCGAAAGCCUGCGGAGCAAUACCGCGUGAGGGAGGAAGGCUCUUGGGUUGUAAACCUCUUUUCUCAAGGAAGAAGCAAUGACGGUACUUGAGGAAUCAGCAUCGGCUAACUCCGUGCCAGCAGCCGCGGUAAUACGGAGGAUGCAAGCGUUAUCCGGAAUGAUUGGGCGUAAAGCGUCCGCAGGUGGCAAUGCAAGUCUGCUGUCAAAGGCUGGGGCUUAACUCCAGACAGGCAGUGGAAACUGCAUCAGCUAGAGUGCGGUAGGGGCAGAGGGAAUUCCCGGUGUAGCGGUGAAAUGCGUAGAGAUCGGGAAGAACACCAGUGGCGAAAGCGCUCUGCUGGACCUGCACUGACACUCAGGGACGAAAGCUAGGGGAGCGAAUGGGAUUAGAUACCCCAGUAGUCCUAGCCGUAAACGAUGGAUACUAGGUGUUGUGAGUAUCGACCCUCACAGUGCCGCAGCUAACGCGCUAAGUAUCCCGCCUGGGGAGUGCGCACNCAAAGGGAUCAAA